GACGAAGGUGGCUAGCGUUAUUCGGAUUCACUAGGCAUAAAGCGCGCGUAGGCGGCUCUUCAAGUCGGAGGUAAAAGCCUACAGCUCAACUGCGGAACGGCCUUCGAUACUGUCGAGCUUGAGUGCAAGAGGGGUGAUCGGAACUCCAGGUGUAGCAGUGAAAUGCGUAGAUAUCUGGAGGAACACCGGAGGCGAAGGCGAAUCACUAAACUGUCACUGACGCUGAGGCGCGAAAGCUAGGAGAGCAAACAGG
RNAcentral lists this ribosomal RNA (253 nucleotides) under uncultured bacterium. RNAcentral's name for it is "partial 16S ribosomal RNA". It matches the Rfam family "Bacterial small subunit ribosomal RNA", at positions 524 to 776 of the family's 1533-position model. The record is from RNAcentral.